RNAcentral lists this transfer RNA (73 nucleotides) under Actinomycetota bacterium. Its description in RNAcentral is "tRNA-Thr". It matches the Rfam family "tRNA". From Rfam's summary of the family: Transfer RNA (tRNA) molecules are approximately 80 nucleotides in length. Lineage: Bacteria; Bacillati; Actinomycetota. RNAcentral also lists the same sequence under 1 other name. The record is from RNAcentral.
GCUGGAGUAGCUCAGACGGCAGAGCACCUCCAUGGUAAGGAGGGGGUCCGGGGUUCGAUUCCCCGCUCCAGCU